GAUCUUGGUUCAGGAUGAACGCUGGCGGCGUGCUUAACACAUGCAAGUCGAACGCUGAAGCUCCCAGCUUGCUGGGGGUGGAUGAGUGGCGAACGGGUGAGUAUCACGUGAGUAACCUGCCCUUGACUCUGGGAUAAGCCCGGGAAACUGGGUCUAAUACUGGAUAGGACUGGCCAUCGCAUGGUGGUUGGUUGAAAGCUUUUGCGGUUUUGGAUGGACUCGCGGCCUAUCAGCUUGUUGGUGGGGUAAUGGCCUACCAAGGCUUUGACGGGUAGCCGGCCUGAGAGGGUGACCGGCCACACUGGGACUGAGACACGGCCCAGACUCCUACGGGAGGCAGCAGUGGGGGAUAUUGCACAAUGGGCGCAAGCCUGAUGCAGCGACGCCGCGUGAGGGAUGACGGCCUUCGGGUUGUAAACCUCUUUCAGUUGGGAAGAAGCCUUUCGGGGUGACGGUACCUUCAGAAGAAGCACCGGCUAACUACGUGCCAGCCGCCGC
Molecule: ribosomal RNA, 498 nt
Filed under: uncultured bacterium
Lineage: Bacteria
Description: bacterial SSU rRNA
Rfam family: Bacterial small subunit ribosomal RNA
Source: RNAcentral